Oryza sativa Japonica Group (Japanese rice) is the source of this 1822-nucleotide non-coding RNA. The record is from RefSeq and is a predicted model, not a curated record. Lineage: Eukaryota; Viridiplantae; Streptophyta; Magnoliopsida; Poales; Poaceae.
AAAUCUUUAGUUUUCCUGAGCCACUACCACCAGUGCGUCGCUUCACGAGAGCUCACGAUUCUGCUACAGUGCAACAGUCCCUGCCUGCGCGUGGACCGUCCGAUGCACCCACGUUGCUGAGAUCCGAACAUCCGCGUGUCUGCUUCUGCGCCAGCCCGAGCCCCUGAUCCGCUCGCCCGUCGUCAUCCCCAAGACCUCAGCCAGGCACGCCACGCACCCACCGCUCACCAAUCCCCAAUUCCCCAUCGAUCCCCAUUACCGCGGAGAAAUCAGAAAUCGGCGUCUCCACCUCAUCGCCCAUCGAUCCCAUUCAGCUUCGCCCCUCCGUUCUUCCCCGCCGACUCCUUCCCUCCGUUCUCCUUACUGAAUCAGCGUCGGCUAUGGUUGGGGGUUCUCGGUUGCUGCCGGUCACAAUGAGGAUUCCAAACAGUGCGCCAUUGAGAACCGACCACAGGUCCAGGUAUGGCCAUCUGGGCUCUAGAUUACCCCCGGCUUCGCCACACAUGACAUAGCAUCCCAUUCUACCAUCCUCCAUUUGGUCUCUAUCCAGAUUUGGUUGUCUCAUGUUGUAGCUAGGGUUUUGGUAGGUAAUGCGCAUUGCGGCGGACGAGCUGAGGCGGCAGGGUAUAGCGCAUAAACUUAAGUUUUACGUCCUUCAACAGUUCAACGAUGAAUCGAUCUGUGCAAGUUAUGCAGCUAUUGGUUGUUUGUGUGACUGCUCAACCUCGGCUUUGCUGUCCUCCGGCUAUGGUGGCAGGAAGGGAAGCACUUGCCUGUCUUCCUAUAGCUCAAGCAAUUAUGAUGGCAUGGAGGCUAAUCUUCUUUUCCUUGCAGGUUCCUAAUUGACUGAUGAGAAGAAUGUACCGCCUUUCAUGCCAGAAGAUGUUUACUGCUUGGAGCAACAAUCUUAUGGAAAACCUGUACCUUAAAACCCCAAACCAUAGUUACAUUUUUAGUGUAUCUAUAUGAGAGAAGCUUUCCUAGACUACUGCUGCUCAUUUAUAGUCUAAGCCAUCAAUUCAUUUUCAUGUGCCAUAAAUCAUGAGCAAUUUUGCCAUCCAACAGUUCGUACCUCGAGGUACCAAAAAAUUGUAGUACCUCGAGGUACCAAAUGUUGAAUGGUAAAAAGACUCAUAAAUCAUACAUAGGAGAUGCUCUGUUGCAAUUUAUACAUUGGAUUUACUCAUAUUUAUCUCAUGCAAAAGCUUUUGCAUUAUUUUUCUUUUUGGAUCGCAACAUUCAAAUGUGCUAACUGCUAAGUUAUGUCUUGAUACAAAUGUUGCAGCUUGAUGAUUGUGAUGACAGCUAUGCAAAAUUACUGACAAGUUCAUCAGACUUUACAUUAAAAUCAUACAAUAUCCUACGGCUCCUGCACAUGUUAUUCCAUCUUUAGUUCCGAAGGAUAGCUAUGGAUUCUUCAUUCUUUCCUAUGGCAUGUGUGCUGGCUACAUAUUGAUGUCAGUGAUGAUGAGUUUGCAAGAAAUCUGAUCUGUCUUUCAACUCAACGUCACAUAGUAAGAGAGUCAAUACUGGUAAUAAAAUCAUAGAUGGAAUCAAGCUACCUAGGUUAACAGCCAAUUGAGCAUAGAUAGUCCAUUGUUCAUCAUAGACUUGCAGCCAAUCACCUGUAUAUAUCAUACUUUGUCAUGUUUGUACUUCCAAGUAAAAUCAUGUCACCUCCAUGUUUUUUCUACUUAGGUAUUUAUCUUCUAGGUUUAUAGGAUGGAAUAUUUCUCGAAUACACUUUUGUCUAUGUAAAUUACAGGUGUUCUGUAUAGAAAAUUUUCCCAUCAGAAAUCUUUAUGGUUGUUCAUAUGUUAAA